AGCACCUGCUCUGAUAUCACUUAUUACUCAAAGAUAGUAACCCAAGAGGGGAAGUGAAUUGAGUUGAUUAGAAAUUUUAAUCAUAUUUAAAAUCUAAACAAAGAUGUACUUCAAUUUCAGCUUAUUUAAGUAAUUGUGAGAUGAUCAAUAUAUACAACAACUCAAGUAAAAUAAAUAGUAGAACUAUGCAAUAAAUAAUUCUAAUAAAAAGUAAAAGUUGAAAGCAUGUGAAGCAAGAAGGAGAGCAAUGUGCAAACAUAUAAGAUUUAUAGUAGUUCGGAGUAAUCCAUUCCUAUAUUCAUUUCUCAAGCU
This 312-nucleotide long non-coding RNA is filed under the name Elaeis guineensis (African oil palm). RNAcentral describes it as "long non-coding RNA (EGUI_LNC067023)". The record is from RNAcentral. Lineage: Eukaryota; Viridiplantae; Streptophyta; Magnoliopsida; Arecales; Arecaceae.